RNAcentral lists this small RNA (1008 nucleotides) under Rattus norvegicus (Norway rat). Its description in RNAcentral is "uncharacterized LOC102547352". Lineage: Eukaryota; Metazoa; Chordata; Mammalia; Rodentia; Muridae. The record is from RNAcentral.
CUGAUUGGAGGAGCUGCUCUGAUGGGCGUGGCCAAAUGUUUUGCUAACGGCCAGAGGAGAGCAGUUGGUAGUUAUUUUGCAGGAGGCUUUUCUCAGGGAUGAAGGCAAGCUGGCCUCUAGCUGAUCAGCUGGUUGGUGAGGACUCCUCAGGAAGUCAGGGAUCAUUGUGAAGAUGGAAGAACGCCCACAAGGUCCAGGUUGUGCCUGCAGGCCCUGAGCAUCCUGCUGGCUCAGCUGUGGUAACCAAGGAGCAUCUCAGGCCCACAGUCAGUGGGGUCAUACCCCACACGUUGGGGCAGCUGCUGGGCAGAUCUCCAUUGUUUUUCCUUUGUGUUUCUUCUGUCCUACCCAGAAAGUUAACCUAUUUGUGGAGAGCUGUGACCCAAUGGCCUGGUCCAGUAGGUAAGUCAAGCGCUCAUGGUCAGCUAUCAAGCUCUAACAAAGUGUCAAGGCAGUCCCUGAAUCCAUAGCACCACUUUGUGAAGAACUAAGAAGCCAACCUUGAGGGACCACUCACCCCAAGAAGACUUUGUUCUGAGCUGAUGUCUCCCCAGCCUGGUGCCUUCCCUUUAUCCGAAAGAAGAUCUGUUAGGAUGAUUGGAACUUUGGUUCUUCCUGUUCACCCUCUGCCCUCUCUCCAGCCCCCUGCCUUAGACAGCAGAAGGAAAGAAAACUCAGCCCUCAGAGGUGGGAUCCUUCGGAAGGACCAACAGCGUGCUAGCUCUCCUGUGGUUGGGAGCCGGAAGUGGGGCAGUGCCUUUGGUUUGGCUCCUUGUCCAGAGCUGAGCUUUAUCACAGAGGUCUUCCCGCUUACCAUCAACAUUGAAACUUACCUCUUCGCUUGGGUGUAUUCUCCCUCUUUUGUGCACAGUUUGGUUCCUCCGAACUGCUCUCCCUGUGAAGGCCUGUGGAAUGCAGGGAGCCUGGCCAGCCACCCAGGCCCGUUACAAAGGCCCCACGUCCCACCGGAUGGAGGAGGGGGACCCAAUAAAGACUUUGCAAAAUGCU